CAGCAGCCGCGGUAAUACGAAGGGUGCAAGCGUUACUCGGAAUUACUGGGCGUAAAGCGUGCGUAGGUGGUUCGUUAAGUCUGACGUGAAAGCCCUGGGCUCAACCUGGGAAUUGCAUUGGAUACUGGCGAGCUAGAGUGCGGUAGAGGGUAGUGGAAUUCCCGGUGUAGCAGUGAAAUGCGUAGAGAUCGGGAGGAACAUCUGUGGCGAAGGCGACUGCCUGGACCAGCACUGACACUGAGGCACGAAAGCGUGGGGAGCAAACAGGAUUAGAUACCCCGGUAGUCCCUGUCUCUUAUAC
Molecule: ribosomal RNA, 301 nt
Filed under: uncultured bacterium
Lineage: Bacteria
Description: partial 16S ribosomal RNA
Rfam family: Bacterial small subunit ribosomal RNA
Source: RNAcentral